Molecule: ribosomal RNA, 430 nt
Filed under: uncultured bacterium
Lineage: Bacteria
Description: bacterial SSU rRNA
Rfam family: Bacterial small subunit ribosomal RNA
Source: RNAcentral
UGGGGAAUAUUGCGCAAUGGGGGAAACCCUGACGCAGCGACGCCGCGUGAGCGAAGAAGGCCUUAGGGUUGUAAAGCUCUGUUUUAAGGGACGAAUGUCACCUUAAGUAAUAUGUAAGGUGAAUGACGGUACCUUAAGAGGAAGCCCCGGCUAACUACGUGCCAGCAGCCGCGGUAAGACGUAGGGGGCGAGCGUUGUCCGGAAUUACUGGGCGUAAAGAGCACGUAGGCGGGAACUUAAGUCAGGUGUGAAAGACCGGGGCUCAACCUCGGGUAUGCACUUGAAACUGGGUUUCUUGAGGGCAGGAGAGGAAAGCAGAAUUCCUGGUGUAGCGGUGAAAUGCGUAGAAAUCAGGAGGAAUACCAGUGGCGAAGGCGGCUUUCUGGACUGACCCUGACGCUGAGGUGCGAAAGCGUGGGUAGCAAACAGG